GAAAUGCACUGGGAAGGGGGACUUAGAUACUAACACAAGUUCAAUUCAAGAAGCAUUUAUUGAACCGUCCUCAUGAGCCAGGUCAGGGUGUUCAGCACUGAGCGUGUCAAGACGAAGACACAUAGCCUCUAAGUGUCCACCAUCUACAAUAGCUAAUGUUUAAUUGUCCUUAAAAGUUGAAGAAUGUUGACUGGAUUGUCUGCAAAUCAGUCAUGUGAGUAGUGUUAAUCUAAUGAAGAAGAAUCUUAAAAGACAAAUUCUCCAAAUGCUGCUGCUCCUGCAUCCUGCUGCUCUACCUGCUGUGGGGAGGAGGUGAGUGGAUGAUACCCAGCUUCCUUUCGUGGCAACAACACUUAAAAAGUAAGGCAUUGGGAAUUAGUGUUAAACAAGACACAAAAUGUGUGCUCUCAGGAAGAUCAUAUGCCAGUGCAGAGAGAUGAUAAACACGAAAUCCAAUAAAUACACAGUUUGUGCCAUGAAGAAAAUAAAACAAGCUGAUGAAAUUAUAA
Homo sapiens (human) is the source of this 509-nucleotide long non-coding RNA. Ensembl annotates it as VAV3 antisense RNA 1. Its record names the gene VAV3-AS1. NCBI's taxonomy places the organism in Eukaryota, Metazoa, Chordata, Mammalia, Primates, Hominidae. The record is from Ensembl.